Molecule: transfer RNA, 73 nt
Filed under: Otolemur garnettii (small-eared galago)
Lineage: Eukaryota; Metazoa; Chordata; Mammalia; Primates; Galagidae
Rfam family: tRNA
About the family: Transfer RNA (tRNA) molecules are approximately 80 nucleotides in length. Their secondary structure includes four short double-helical elements and three loops (D, anti-codon, and T loops).
Source: Rfam by way of RNAcentral
GGUGCUGCAGCUCAGUAGUUAGAGUGCCCGCCCUGCAAACGGGAGGCUGUGAGUUUGAACCUCACCUGGGCCU